Molecule: ribosomal RNA, 324 nt
Filed under: uncultured Chlorobiota bacterium
Lineage: Bacteria; Pseudomonadati; Chlorobiota
Description: bacterial SSU rRNA
Rfam family: Bacterial small subunit ribosomal RNA
Source: RNAcentral
GACGAACGCUGGCGGCGUGCUUAACACAUGCAAGUCUAGGAGAAAUUUUGCUUCGGUGAAAUGGAAACUGGCGAACGGGUGAGUAACGCGUAUGCAAUCUACCCUCAAUCCGGGGAUAACGCUUCCAACGAGGUGCUAAUACCCGAUGACGCAGCGGCACCGCAUGGUGACAGUUGUUAAAGUUUCGGCGAUUGAGGAUGAGCAUGCGUCCCAUUAGGUAGUUGGUGAGGUAACGGCCCACCAAGCCUGCGAUGGGUAGCUGGUCUGAGAGGAUGAUCAGCCACACUGGGACUGAGACACGGCCCAGACUCCUACGGGUGGCAG